This is a non-coding RNA of Pelobates cultripes (western spadefoot toad), 293 nucleotides long. The record is from the annotation of a GenBank genome assembly. NCBI's taxonomy places the organism in Eukaryota, Metazoa, Chordata, Amphibia, Anura, Pelobatidae.
AUUCAAUAAUAAUGUGCACUCAGAUCUAAGCUAUCUGGGGAUAUGUUGCAUGUAUAUGUUUUAUAUAGUAAUUGUAACAUUGUGUAAUUUUAUGUCUUUUUGUAACCAUGUGGUUAAUGGAGUCUUGCCUCUGUCCUGGGAGAAAAUUUGAUUACUUCCCAAUUAUCUCCAGGAUAGAGAGGAGGGAUUGUGAUAUCACUGUGGGAGUGUUUUGUUUGUAUUGUCUGUGAUUGGUUAUACUGGGUCCCACCCUGUGAGAUGUCCCCUUGCAUGGGGACUUGCAUAAAAGCCAG